CCACCUUCCUGAGGCUUUGUACCUCUGCCACCCUGAGCAGGGAGUGGCACUUGAUCCAAAGAGAGCCUCUGAAAUGGCUGCACCCGAUAUCUCAGCAGGUUACCCCAUAGAGUGUUGAGUGGGCAACUCAAUUAUUCCCUCACCUGAAGAAGUCUGAAAGCAAGACGAAGAGAGUCCUUUUGCAAGAGUGAUGUACAAAGCCCUACGGACAUACAGACUUCGUGUGCAAGUCCUGUGGAGGAGAGGAGAUGAGAGAGCAAUCGGUUGGUGGCAUCUGGGGACAUUAAACAGUGACGUGGACACAGUGAUGGCCUGCAGUGGUGAACCAGUGAGGGAACAAGUCCUAUGGUUGGGGAGCUACCUGAGGCUGGAGAGCAGAGUACAGCCAGGCCCACAGUGGUGCAGCAUACCAGAGUCAAGGUCUCACUAGGAUGUCCAGGCUGGCCUCGAACUCCUGGGCUCAAGCAAUCCACCUGCCUUGGCCUCUGAAAGUGCAGGAAUUACAGCCUUAUCCAAAAUCUCUGGAGGUAACACCAGUGGAAGCAACCUUAGAAGAGGAAUGAGUUGGCAGGAGGCAAGAGGCAGGAAAGCACUGAGAAUGUUUCAUCAUGAGAUGUGAGCAUCAUGUUCCAGGCCCUGAGUGCUUCAUAAAAAAAAAAGUUCCUUUUCCACCAAAACAAUGCCCUGAUUUGAGUGCUUCAUCAAAAGAGAAAGAUUUCUCAUGAUAAACCAUAUUCUAAGCACUUAGAUCACAAUAUAGUAAAUUUUCAAAAGGAAGUCACUUUUGCCAAGAUAUAAAGGCUCAUGUACGUAAAUUCUAUGCUUCCAAUAUAAGUACAUUUCAAAAAUAUUAUUAAACCCUUAUUUACUGAGUGCUGCUUAUAUGCCUCCUAUUCUCACUCUUUUUUGUGGUUGAAUUUAAUCAACACACAACUCUAAGGAAUAGGCAUGACUCAUUAUUUUCAUUUUACACUUGAGGAAACUGAGGCACUCAGUGUUUUACAUAUAUAAAAAUGAGUAUGAGGUUCAGCCAAAAUUCAAAUACCGAACGUCUGGCUCCAAAGCCCACAUGGUAUUCACCAUAAAUAGAAAUUUCAUACUAGAAAUCAUAUUGUUUUCUUUCCCUCAGGAGCAAUUUAGGAAAUAAAUUAAAAACUUUAAAGUGGUGAUUUAAAGCAACUCACCUUUUUGCCAGUUAUACGUUACCUUAAGAGAAAAUUGCAAGAAAUGAGAAAGAUAAAGCUUGAUGAGGAUGACACUAUCAUGAAUCACACGAAAAGAAAAGAGGAUUAUUUAGCAUAUUGAAUAUGAAGUUGUAGAUUCAGGGCAACAUCAAGACGGAUGAACUCCCCCACCAAGCUGUUUAACAAACUGGCUCUCUGUCGAGCUGGCCAUGCCGAGUUAGUAGCAGAUCUGCAAUGAUGCCUCUACCAAGCUCACAAUUAUACAAAUGGUGAAGCAGCAGGAAAGCACAUAGAAGAGGGCUACACAGAAGAUACGAGCUCCAGUCAGGUCAUGACACAAAGCCACAGAACUUAACUGGGAAAUGAGCAAUGCUUAUGUGUCCAGCAUUGUCUUAAUUGGUUUCCCAUGCAGAGAGCUCAAAGAGCAUCCUAUCUGAUAUGCACCAGGCAACAACUGAGAACAAGGACCAGCCAAAGUCAUCAGAAGGGUAGCACAGUUGCUGCUAGCAGCUACAUCAAAAGUCUUCCCCAAAGCUCCAUUCCUCAAUGACUGCACAAAUUGCUAGAAGUUUGAGAUUGACACAGACUUUAAAGUUCAGUUAUGCCAACCCUGAUCUUCCCUUUCCAACUUGCAUGGUGUGCAGAUGUUAAAAUGAGCAGGUGUGUGGGGUGAGAAUAAAGUACCUAUGACUAGAGGCUUGGGGGUGGGGAGAGAAAGUUGCAUAAUGGACGACUGGGGGGAUUUGCCACAUAAUGGAGUGGGGAAAGAAGAC
This 1957-nucleotide long non-coding RNA is filed under the name Homo sapiens (human). RNAcentral's name for it is "HSALNT0394115". The record is from RNAcentral. Lineage: Eukaryota; Metazoa; Chordata; Mammalia; Primates; Hominidae.